GGGAGGCACGCAUGCGCAAGACGUGAAUGGCGUAGGGGUUGGAGGUUUGGAAGGUCAGGAAGGGAAGGACUCGCAGGCAUAUUUACGAACGCAAAGUUGCUAGGAGUUGGUACCAGCAGUUGGGAGGUAGAGGUGGAGCUCAUGCGUAUUUGAGACAACAUCUUGAAGGUUGGGGAGAACGGUAAGGAGGAAGCGGCGCGCAUGCGUAUUUCAGACGAAGUGCCGGGGAGGGCAGGCGCUCAGCGUUCGGGUAACUAAGGUUGCAAAAUGGCGAGGGGGGAGGUAAGCUGUCUUUGCUUGGCCAUCUUGGGCUAGCAGGCCCUCCAGAGAACUACCUUUUUAGCUGAGUGAAGGGAUCAGUCAACCUGAGUUGGAGUUCUGUGCUGUGGCCAGAUCCACUAGAAAUUAACCCAGAAUCUUAGCCUCUCACUGGCCUAUCGGUGAUGCCACUUGCAAUCAGAAACUAUGCCACUGGUGAAGAAGUAUAUUGAGCCCUGCCUGGUUAACCUCCAGUGAGGUUAUUAGAGAAUUGAGAGAGGCUCAAAUCAGCAUCCUGCACCUAGUUAUCAAACCAUUGUGAAGUCUUGAUUCCUGGAUGGCCAGAAAACAUCUCAUUGGUCAAGAGCAACAUUAAGAUCUGCCUGUUAUCAUACUGAUGCUUCCUGCCCAGCAAGUUCAUCAGAGGAAGAGGAUGAAUUACGGUUGCCAUGGAUGUCCUUGUGAGGCAGUUGGGAAGCCUUGGCUGGAUUGUGAAGGAUAUUUGGAAAGUAUUUUAGAGUCCACCAGAUCCUCCAUGUGAAUGACCAUGCAGCAAAAGAAGGAGGGUCCUGUCAGUGAUUAAGGUAACAUAGUGAUUAAGGAUUAUGAAGUAUUAAUUCUUCCACUGAUAUCUCAAAAGGUGAUUUGGACAAAGGAACAGGUAUCUCAGGGGCUGCUUUAUAUUUAUUACUCAGGAGGAGCUGGUAGAAGACUUCAUGUGAGUGAGAAGAAAAGGAAAGAAGUAGCAGGGGACGACUACAACCUCUCUUCAUCUCAGCUUCACAAAGCAUCAUUCAACAAAGGGAUCGCUAUUGAGAUCCUCUCCAGACCACAGAUGUUUAUCACCAGUGAGUGCAGUACCUAAAGGAGCAAGAGGACAAUAAGCACCCAGUGGACAACAGUGUGGCAUUUUGAGUGAAGACAGCAACUGAAAAGAUCAUGGGCUUGGCUAGAUUGGGCUGGGCUUGUUUUUUAAAAGUAAAAAAAAAAAAAUGUUUUCCUUCAUGAUGAAAGUAACAGGUGAUCAUUGUUAAAAAAUAAAGUGCAAAGUAUGCAUUAAAAACUAAAUAAUAUGUAUAAUUUUAUAAGCCAGAAAACAAUAAUUUGUAAUAUUUAGCUGUAUGUCCUUUCAGUCUUUUAAAAAAUUAUGUAUAUAACACAGUUUUAUAACAAAAUUGACAUCAUAUUGUAUAUACCAUUUUAUUAUCUAAUUUUUUCAUUGAAAAUUCACAAGCGUAUUUCCAUGUUAUCAUUCUUUGAAAAAUACAAUAUUAAGUGCUACAGAGUAUCUUAUGGAUUUAACAAAGUUUAUUUAGAUGAUAUCAUGUUAUUGGACAUUUUGAUUAUUAUCAAGUUUGCUUAUAAAAUUUAAAUGUAAUGAAGAACAUCAUUGUACAUUAACCUUUAUGCACAUCUGUAAUUAUUUCUUUAGAAUAAGGUUCCAGAAUUAAAAUUAUUUGGUUUGGAUGAUGAGAGCAUUUAGUAGAGCAUCUUACAGGUGGUGUUGAGUUUUCCUCAAUACAGUUGUGCAAAUUACAUUCCCACCAGUAGUGUAUAAAUGUGAAUAUCCCUCCAUACAUUCAUCAAAACAUAGCCUUUCUAUUUUUGUAAAUCUCUGCUAAUUUAAUAGGUAAAAAUAUACCUUUAUUUCUUUAAAAUUUUUAUUUAUAAUUUACACACAGUAAAAUUCAUUCUUUUUAGUGUAUGGUUCUAUGGGUUUUUGACAAAUGCACAGUCAUGUAUCUUCUACACUAGUACCAUACACAGAAGUUCUGUCACUUUAAUAAUUUCUCUUGGUGGCUCUUUUUCAACCCUUUGCCCCAUUCAACCCUUUGCCCCAUAUUCAGUCUCUGGAAACGAUCGAUUUGUUCUUCAUCUCUAUGGUUUUGCCUUUUCCAGAAGGUCAUGUAAGUGGAAUCAUGUAAUAUGUAGCCCUUUUGGUCUGGCUUCUUUCACUUAGUAAAAUGCAGUCAAGAUUCUCCCAUGUUUUGUGGAUAAUUAUUUCAUUCUUUUUUAUCACUGAGUAGUACUUCAUUGUGUGGAUGUACCACAGUUUUAUUAUCCAUCCACUAACUGAUGAACUUGUAAGAUGUUUCUAGUUUUGGUGAAUAUGAAUAAAUUUGCUAUAAACUUUCAGGUAUAAGUUUUGUAUGACAUAAAUGCUCAUUUUUAUAGGGUAAAUGCUUUGGAGUGGGAAUGAGUGCCAGACUGUUUUCUAAAGUUUCCCUAGCAUUUUACAUUCCAAUUACAAAUAUGUGAGAGUUCCAGUAGCUUUGUAUCUUUACCAGUAUUUAGUAAUUUUGUAUUAUACAUAUAUAUGUGUAUAUAUAUAUUCAUUUAAAUUUUAAUUGUUGUUAGAAUUUGUAAUUCCCUAAUGAUACAUGGUAUUAUCUUUUAUUUGUUUAUAAUUGACACAUAAUUGUUUAUGGGAUACAAUGUGAUGUUUCAGUACACGUGUACAUUGUAUAAUGAUCAAAUCAGGAUAUCACCUCAAACCUUAUGAUGAUCUUAGAGUUAAAGAUGGUAUAUUCUUGCAAAGUGUCUGUUCAGAUCUUUUGCUCUUUUUAUUGGAUUGUUCCUUUUCUUACUGUUUUUAUAUAUUUUUUUAAUAUAUUGAUACAAGUCCUUUGUCAGAUACAUUAUUUGGAAAUAGAUUUUCCUAGUCUGUGACUUGUCUUUUCAUUCUUUGAACGCUGCCUUUUUUAGAGCAAAAAUUUUAAUUUUGAUACGAUUCACUUUAUCAAUUUUUUUACUUUUGAUGUGCAAUGUAAGAACACUUGUCUAACCCAGUGUCAUGAAGAUUAUAUCAUAUUUUCAUCCAGAAAUUUUAUAGUUUUAAGUUUUACAUUUCUAUCUAUUAUCCUUUUUGAAUAAAGGUUUGUAUAAAGUUUAGCUAUGGGUCAAGGUUCAAUUUUUAAAAUAUGGUUAUCUAAUUGUUCUAGUACCAUUUGUUGAAAAGAUUGUUUCUUUUUUAUUGCAUUGCUUUUGCACUUUUGUCAAAAAAUGAAUUGAUUAUAUUUGUUUGGGUCUAAAUCUGGGCUGCCUAUUCUGUUCCAUUGUUAUCCAUUCACAAAUACUACAUUUUCCUAAUUACUUUAUAGGAAGUCUUAAAAUUAGAUAGUGUGUACAACUUCAUCCAUCUCAAAAAUCGUGUUGAUUACUACUUUGCUUUUCCAUAAAUUUCAGAAUUGUUGCUUUCUAUAAAAAAUUCUGCUAGUAUAUCUAUUGAGAUUGAAUUAGAUCUAUAGAUGAAUUUGAAGAAAAUUUACAUCCUCACAAUAUUUUGUCUUUAGGCCACAAACAUGAUAUAGCUGUAUAUUUAUUUUGGUCUUGAUUUUUUUUCUACUUUCAGCAUAUAGAUCCUGGAUAUAUUUUAUAUUUAUACCAAAUAUUUUAUACAUUUUCUACUGUUGUAAAUGGUAGUGGUUUUUAAAUUUUCAAACAUUCAUUACUAGUAUAUAGAAAUAAAAUCAUUUUUAAAAAAUGUAAUGGCAUUUAUUGUUUUUCAAUUUAAUAAACCGCAUCUGGACAACACAGUGAUUAAAAAUGUUGACAAUUGGGACAAUGUAAAUGUAAAGGUAAAGGUAACAAUUUUUACCUUGAUAAUGUAAAGGUAAAAAUGUAGUAGAUGGUGUAUGGGGACAAAAGAGGAAGUGAGUAGGAAGGGCAGAGUGGGAAUAUUAAUAGCUUCAUCUUUUAUAGAGAGAACACACUGAUGUGAACAGCAAAUAGGUGUAUAUGCAUCUGAAAGUCACUUUUGGUAUGUUGAUCUUGUAUCCUGCAACUUUGCUAAACUCACUUAUUAAUUAUAGGAACUUUUAUGCAUAUUUCUUGGCAUUUUCUAUAUACAGUGGUGUCUGUAUAGUUUACUAUUUACAUGUGAAUACUGAUAGUUUAAUUUCUUCCUUUCCAAUCUGCUUGCCUUUUAUAUCUUCUUGAAAUACUGCAUUGGCUAAGACUUGCAGUAAGAAGUUAAAGGGGAGUGUUUGGAGCACACAUUGCCAAGUCUCUGAUGUUAGUGUGGC
Molecule: long non-coding RNA, 4283 nt
Organism: Piliocolobus tephrosceles (Ugandan red Colobus)
Lineage: Eukaryota; Metazoa; Chordata; Mammalia; Primates; Cercopithecidae
Exons: 7
Source: RefSeq, a predicted model, not a curated record